This 411-nucleotide ribosomal RNA is filed under the name Salmonella enterica. RNAcentral's name for it is "bacterial SSU rRNA". It matches the Rfam family "Bacterial small subunit ribosomal RNA", at positions 1 to 410 of the family's 1533-position model. RNAcentral also lists the same sequence under 1 other name. Lineage: Bacteria; Pseudomonadati; Pseudomonadota; Gammaproteobacteria; Enterobacterales; Enterobacteriaceae. The record is from RNAcentral.
AAAUUGAAGAGUUUGAUCAUGGCUCAGAUUGAACGCUGGCGGCAGGCCUAACACAUGCAAGUCGAACGGUAGCACAGAGAGCUUGCUCUCGGGUGACGAGUGGCGGACGGGUGAGUAAUGUCUGGGAAACUGCCCGAUGGAGGGGGAUAACUACUGGAAACGGUAGCUAAUACCGCAUAACGUCGCAAGACCAAAGUGGGGGACCUUCGGGCCUCACACCAUCGGAUGUGCCCAGAUGGGAUUAGCUAGUAGGUGGGGUAACGGCUCACCUAGGCGACGAUCCCUAGCUGGUCUGAGAGGAUGACCAGCCACACUGGAACUGAGACACGGUCCAGACUCCUACGGGAGGCAGCAGUGGGGAAUAUUGCACAAUGGGCGCAAGCCUGAUGCAGCCAUGCCGCGUGUAUGAAG